Molecule: ribosomal RNA, 245 nt
Filed under: uncultured bacterium
Lineage: Bacteria
Description: partial 16S ribosomal RNA
Rfam family: Bacterial small subunit ribosomal RNA
Source: RNAcentral
CUAGCCGUAAACGAUGGGUACUAGGUGUGGGAGGUAUCGACCCCUUCCGUGCCGGAGUUAACGCAAUAAGUACCCCGCCUGGGGAGUACGGUCGCAAGACUAAAACUCAAAGGAAUUGACGGGGGCCCGCACAAGCAGCGGAGCAUGUGGUUUAAUUCGAAGCAACGCGAAGAACCUUACCUAGACUUGACAUCUCCUGAAUUACCCGUAAUGGGGGAAGCUCUUCGGAGCAGGAAGACAGGUGG